Molecule: small nuclear RNA, 109 nt
Organism: Suncus etruscus (white-toothed pygmy shrew)
Lineage: Eukaryota; Metazoa; Chordata; Mammalia; Eulipotyphla; Soricidae
Source: RefSeq, a predicted model, not a curated record
ACUUUUAUUAAAAGGGAAGCACAUAUGUAAAAUUGGAAUGAUACAGAGAAGAUUAGGAUGGUCCCUGAGCAAGAAUAACACGUAAAUUUGUGAAUCAUUCCAUAUUUAU